Ahaetulla prasina is the source of this 2683-nucleotide long non-coding RNA. RefSeq lists it as uncharacterized. NCBI's taxonomy places the organism in Eukaryota, Metazoa, Chordata, Lepidosauria, Squamata, Colubridae. The record is from RefSeq and is a predicted model, not a curated record. The transcript is spliced from 5 exons.
GCCGGUUAGCUUUUCAUAGGGCGUCGGUGCGAGCGCAUAUUGGGGGGGGGGGGGGAAGAGGCGAGGGCGGUUGACAGAGAGAUUAUUGCCAGUAUUGGUUUGUGUGGGUUGCUGCUUUGAUAUUGAUGCUUUUGCAGUGGAAGCUUCAGGCCGGGGAAACUUAAGCCUUCCUUUCUUCCCCGCCAGACCCCACCGUCUCCUUCCUUUGCUAGCCCUCAUGCCUGACAGAAAAGCCGCCACCCCCCCCCGCGCCCCCAGUCCUUCUGGAGUUCAAAAGCUAAAAAAGAUAAAGAGUUAAAAUCGAAAACAACUGAACUAAGCCCGAUUUCCUGAGAAAGAAGUAAACUUUUUAAGAAGAAGCCGUAGAAGAAAGCCCCGAGAAGUACUAAAGAAAACAGUCCUUAAGAUAAGUGAAUAGCAUUUAGGACUGUAAACAUCUUGAUGGCCAUAUGAUAUGUUCCAUGUAGAAAAUUCCCUGAAGUGUUUAUAUAAACAGUUUGUGCAGAGCAAGCCAGCAUACAGGCACGCAAGACAGGCUCACAAACCAUGAGCAAAGCAAAACUUUCAUGGUAGGAACGACAAACAAAUGAUGCAAUUGGCACUAAUUUAGACCAGGCAGCAUGAGAACCUGGUAAGCAUUAAUCAUCUGGCUUCUGAGCCUCAUCCUGAACAAUCUGCAGAGCAGUGAAAAAGUGGAAGGCAUACUUGAUUUCUAACUGAGUAAUGCCGAACUGGAUCCUCAGCUGCCAGAGAGAUGCUGCUGAGCAAGAUGAAAAAAAGGAUCAGAUAAGCAGUGAAAGCACCGGAUAACCAGAGAAGAAAGGAUGCAGUAAAAAGGGCUGGGAAGCUGUUCCUUCCUAUAAUUUUGAAAUAUAAAUAUAUAUAUUGGGACUAAAAAAGAAGCGGCCUCAUUGGAAUCAGCAAUAUUGCAUUCAGAUGGAAAGUUUGCCCACACCCAUUCUUUCCUGCUCUUAAUUCAUUCUUCAGUCAAGCUCUGGAGAAAUAAAAAAUAAAAUGUGGCGCGCCGGGUGAAAUCAUUUUCUUCACAGCUGCUCUAGGACAGGCAGAACAGAUGAUAGGAUUAAUUCUCCAUUCAACCUACUGUCCUUUUUCAGGUAAUAUGGCCAACCAAUGUCACAGGGCUAUUUGGAGUUCAGAUUAAUCCUUUCCAGCCUGUGGAAUCCAGUGAUUAUUGGAUUUAACCAUCCACAGGAUACCCCUCUUGUUAGGUUCGGCCAAUGAAGAGGCAGGAGACGAUACAAGUGACAACAGCUCUGUAGUUUAUUGUGAUCCCAGCAAAAGCCAACAGGCAAAAACCCCUCUUUAAAUAGUUUAUUGGCUGAGGCAUCAGCCAAUCAGCAACGUGCAUUUUCCCGCCCAAAUUUCCCUCCUAAAAUUCAAAUACAUUACACCUCCAACCUGUUUAAGCACAUUGUACAAAUAUGGCCCUGUUACCACUGUCCAAAUCUUCAAAAGCAAACUGAGCUGUGAUCAUUUCCAUUGCUGCAAACCUGAAGCAAUAAUUUGUUUCUUGCAGCUGCUCGAACGGAGGUUGAAGGACCAACAGCUCGGUCAGUGCCUUGCCUUACCAUCACGUUAUUUGUUUGUCUAAAUUUCUUGAAAUAUAAGCUAUUCAAAUAUUUAGGGAGUUGAAAAAUAUAUCUACAAUUAAUUCCAAAUACUGUAGACGAACAGGAUAAUUUAGCUUUGGCCAUUAAUUCCUGUAAUGAAUUACCCUUGAUCUUUGUUUAUACAAUGAAUUGCUGAUGAUAGACGGUUGGAAAAUAAAUAACCAAGAUCAAUGCUAAUCUGACUAAUCUUUUGAACCACCUGUUUAAACUACAGAUCUACAAAGGAUACAUUUGGGAUUUCCUGAAGCAAUCCUUCCAUGUUUUUAAAAACGUAUCUUUUAGUAAAUAUCAAAUAGGCUUUUUAAAAGUCAGAUUAAAAGUGUAUAAAUGUGCAAAUGUGUAAUGUGCAAAGCAGGAGUGGGUUCUACUUACCUUUACUACUGGUUUGCAAGGGGAGCGUGCACGUGUGCUCACUUCGCUCACUUGCGCUUCUGCGCAUGUGCAGACUGUCAAUUAUGGCGGGUGGGCGGAAUCUCCCACCCAGUGGUGGGUUGUCCCCGGUUCGGACUGGUUCGGAAGAACCGGUAGUAAAAUCAGCAAGAGGCUCUGCCCACUGACCAUUAGAAUAGAAUAGAAUAGAAUAGAAUUUUAUAGGUGAUAUGCGCAUGCACAGAAGAGCACACACAGGCGUGAGCAAAGUGAGCAUGUGCGCAUGCAGGGGCACGAUGCAAACCAGUAGUAAAGGUAAGCAGAACCCAGCCCUGCUCCUGCCGCUUUUACUACUGGUUAUACAGAACCGGACAGAACCAGGAGCAACCCACCACUGGUGCAAAGCCAUCAAAUAUGGUAUAUAGUAGAUUUUUUAAAAAACCUAUAUCUCAAAGAUUUUUUGGUAGCAAUUCCAAAAUGGUUGAUCAUAUUUUAUUGUAUUGUGAAUUUUACAAAGGUCUUCUGUAGGAGGUUAUUUGGCCUAUUUUAAAAGCUAAAGGAGGAGAUUACCAAUAGAUACUUCUAAGUAUGUACAAAUUUUACUUGCAGAUAAGAAUCCUAAGAUUACAAUGGCAACAGUCAGAUUUUUUUUGACUAUAGCUUUAAAAAGAAGGCUUUUAGUA